This 453-nucleotide ribosomal RNA is filed under the name uncultured bacterium. RNAcentral describes it as "partial 16S ribosomal RNA". It matches the Rfam family "Bacterial small subunit ribosomal RNA", at positions 355 to 797 of the family's 1533-position model. The record is from RNAcentral.
UGGGGAAUAUUGCACAAUGGGCGCAAGCCUGAUGCAGCCAUGCCGCGUGUAUGAAGAAGGCCUUCGGGUUGUAAAGUACUUUCAGCGGGGAGGAAGGGAGUAAAGUUAAUACCUUUGCUCAUUGACGUUACCCGCAGAAGAAGCACCGGCUAACUCCGUGCCAGCAGCCGCGGUAAUACGGAGGGUGCAAGCGUUAAUCGGAAUUACUGGGCGUAAAGCGCACGCAGGCGGUUUGUUAAGUCAGAUGUGAAAUCCCCGGGCUCAACCUGGGAACUGCAUCUGAUACUGGCAAGCUUGAGUCUCGUAGAGGGGGGUAGAAUUCCAGGUGUAGCGGUGAAAUGCGUAGAGAUCUGGAGGAAUACCGGUGGCGAAGGCGGCCCCCCUGGACGAAGACUGACGCUCAGGUGCGAAAGCGUGGGGCAGCAAAACAGGAUUAGAUACCCUGGUAGUCCA